Molecule: ribosomal RNA, 534 nt
Filed under: uncultured bacterium
Lineage: Bacteria
Description: bacterial SSU rRNA
Rfam family: Bacterial small subunit ribosomal RNA
Source: RNAcentral
GGCCUUGACAUACUAAGAACUUUCCAGAGAUGGAUUGGUGCCUUCGGGAACUUAGGAUACAGGUGCUGCAUGGCUGUCGUCAGCUCGUGUCGUGAGAUGUUGGGUUAAGUCCCGCAACGAGCGCAACCCUUUUCCUUAUUUGCCAGCGGGUCAUGCCGGGAACUUUAAGGAUACUGCCAGUGACAAACUGGAGGAAGGCGGGGACGACGUCAAGUCAUCAUGGCCCUUACGGCCAGGGCUACACACGUGCUACAAUGGUCGGUACAAAGGGUUGCUACCUCGCGAGAGGAUGCUAAUCUCAAAAAGCCGAUCGUAGUCCGGAUCGCAGUCUGCAACUCGACUGCGUGAAGUCGGAAUCGCUAGUAAUCGCGGAUCAGAAUGCCGCGGUGAAUACGUUCCCGGGCCUUGUACACACCGCCCGUCACACCAUGGGAGUUUGUUGCACCAGAAGUAGGUAGUCUAACCGCAAGGAGGACGCUUACCACGGUGUGGCCGAUGACUGGGGUGAAGUCGUAACAAGGUAAGCGUAGAUGA